This is a non-coding RNA of Rhodocollybia butyracea, 96 nucleotides long. Lineage: Eukaryota; Fungi; Basidiomycota; Agaricomycetes; Agaricales; Omphalotaceae. The record is from the annotation of a GenBank genome assembly.
GCCCGCCUAGCUCAAUCGGAUAGAGCGUCAGACUCUUACACUAGCUGGGCUUAGAAGGACAUCUGAAGGCUGCGAGUUCGACCCUCGCGGUGGGCU